This 425-nucleotide ribosomal RNA is filed under the name bacterium. RNAcentral's name for it is "bacterial SSU rRNA". It matches the Rfam family "Bacterial small subunit ribosomal RNA", at positions 354 to 776 of the family's 1533-position model. The record is from RNAcentral. RNAcentral also lists the same sequence under 1 other name.
GUGAGGAAUAUUGGUCAAUGGGCGCGAGCCUGAACCAGCCAAGUCGCGUGAGGGAGGACGGCCCUACGGGUUGUAAACCUCUUUUGCCGGGGAGCAACGGGCGUCACGUGUGGCGCCACUGAGAGUACCCGGAGAAAAAGCAUCGGCUAACUCCGUGCCAGCAGCCGCGGUAAUACGGAGGAUGCGAGCGUUAUCCGGAUUUAUUGGGUUUAAAGGGUGCGUAGGCGGAUCGUUAAGUCAGUGGUCAAAUUGAGGGGCUCAACCCCUUCCCGCCAUUGAAACUGGCGAUCUUGAGUGGAAGAGAAGUAUGCGGAAUGCGUGGUGUAGCGGUGAAAUGCAUAGAUAUCACGCAGAACCCCGAUUGCGAAGGCAGCAUGCCGGCUUCCGACUGACGCUGAAGCACGAAAGCGUGGGGAUCGAACAGG